UGGGGAAUCUUCCGCAAUGGACGAAAGUCUGACGGAGCAACGCCGCGUGAGUGAAGAAGGUUUUCGGAUCGUAAAACUCUGUCUUUUGGGGCGAACGUGAGUAUGGUAAAUAAUCAUAGUCAGUGACGGUACCAAAGGAGGAAGCCACGGCUAACUACGUGCCAGCAGCCGCGGUAAUACGUAGGUGGCAAGCGUUGUCCGGAAUUAUUGGGCGUAAAGAGCGCGUAGGCGGGAUAGUCAGUCUGUUGUAAAAGUGCGGGGCUCAACCCCGUGAUCGCAAUGGAAACAGCUAUUCUUGAGUGCAGGAGAGGAAAGUGGAAUUCCCAGUGUAGCGGUGAAAUGCGUAGAUAUUGGGAGGAACACCAGUGGCGAAGGCGACUUUCUGGACUGUGUCUGACGCUGAGGCGCGAAAGCCAGGGGAGCGAACGGGAUUAGAUACCCGGUAGUCCUGGCCGUAAACGAU
This 463-nucleotide ribosomal RNA is filed under the name uncultured bacterium. RNAcentral describes it as "partial 16S ribosomal RNA". It matches the Rfam family "Bacterial small subunit ribosomal RNA", at positions 355 to 810 of the family's 1533-position model. The record is from RNAcentral.